AACCAGCUCUUCAAGUGGUCGGGACUUUUAUUGGGCUUAAAGUGUCCGUAGCCUGUUUAGCAAGUUCCUGGUAAAAUCCAGCAGCUUAACUGUUGGUCCGCUGGGAAUACUGCUUUACUGGAGGGCGGGAGAAGUCGGAGGUACUUUGGGGGUAGCGGUGAAAUGCGAUAAUCCUCAGGGGACCACCAGUGGCGAAGGCGUCCGACCGGAACACGCCUGACGGUGAGGGACGAAAGCCAGGGGAGCGAACGGGAUUAGAUACCCCGGUAGUCCUGGCUGUAAACGAUGCGUGCUAGGUGUUGGCAGGGCUAUGAGCCGUGUCAGUGCCGUAGGGAAACCGUUAAGCGCGCCGCCUGGGAAGUACGCUCGCAAGAGUGAAACUUAAAGGAAUUGGCGGGGGAGCACCACAAGGGGUGAAGCCUGCGGUUC
RNAcentral lists this ribosomal RNA (429 nucleotides) under uncultured archaeon. RNAcentral describes it as "bacterial SSU rRNA". It matches the Rfam family "Archaeal small subunit ribosomal RNA", at positions 474 to 903 of the family's 1478-position model. The record is from RNAcentral.